Molecule: long non-coding RNA, 494 nt
Organism: Procambarus clarkii (red swamp crayfish)
Lineage: Eukaryota; Metazoa; Arthropoda; Malacostraca; Decapoda; Cambaridae
Source: RefSeq, a predicted model, not a curated record
CUUCGUCUGGACAUUGUCAGCUGGAACACACUCCUUGCAACACGGUACUCAAUCAAGAUGCACGGAACAGUGAUGGUAGUGGUGGUGGUGUUGGCAGCCCUGGCCGCCGCCCGACCUGAAGAAGGAGGCGACGCAAAGCCUAACCAACGGUUCUUCCUUCCCAACCUAGUAGGCGCAGCCCAAGGCGCCGUCCAGGGCUUCUUGAAUCCUUACGGCGGCCAUCACGGUGGUGGCUUUGGAGGCAACUUCGGGUUUGGCAAAGGGGGCUACAACGGCUUUUAUCCAGGCUACGGUGGCUAUCCUGGAGGCUUCGGCGCAGGCUACGGCUUCAACAAUUACUACGGGUAGAGGCACCCUUCAGCCUCCAUGGAGUCCCUCUAGCGUAUUAUUAUUUAUUAAUAAUACAGUAAUAAGACUUUUUAUCCUGUAACAUUUGGCAGAUUAUUUCCAAUGUAUGUGGCCUUAAUUUAUGAAAUAAAUAUAAAAUUUUACUA